RNAcentral lists this long non-coding RNA (556 nucleotides) under Musa acuminata (dwarf banana). RNAcentral's name for it is "long non-coding RNA (MACU_LNC000269)". Lineage: Eukaryota; Viridiplantae; Streptophyta; Magnoliopsida; Zingiberales; Musaceae. The record is from RNAcentral.
UACAUAAUUGUCUGGAAUUUACUAGGACCAUCAUCUGCUUCCAUAUCAUGUCUCAUUCAUCAUGCAUUCCAGCAACUUAAGAUGAACAGCAGAAACGUUACCAUUCUUGAAUAAUGUUAACGAGCUUGGUACAGAUAUAACGCAUAAUGCAUCGUUCGUGCAGAUCCAUGCAGAUGAAUUCAGAACAUAAUGAUGCCAGAACUCCGAAGAUAAACUAAGAUGCAAUAGACAAUUCUAGCGCAUACCAAAUAACUAUUCGAAUCAUCCACAUUUGGGAAUCCAGUAAGUAACUGCUGCCCGCUCCCAGAGCCAUACGGCACAUCGAGCGAAUGCAACCGAAACGUCGUCCUCUAGUGCAUCAGCUUAACCACACUACCAUAAGUAAUAUUCCAAACAAAGGGAGAAAACAAGUUAGAAAACAUAUAUGACGAGACAAUCUAGGGUGAGGAUGAGAUCCACCAACCUCGACGCCCUCUUCGCCUCCGCGGGGAACUCAAGGCCGAAGUAAAGGAAGAUAGAGAGGGCGAAUUAGGAGAAGGCCAUGAGGAGGAGGAGG